RNAcentral lists this unclassified non-coding RNA (236 nucleotides) under uncultured fungus. RNAcentral describes it as "sequence contains ITS1, 5.8S rRNA gene". The stretch from base 188 to 236 matches the Rfam family "5.8S ribosomal RNA", at positions 1 to 49 of the family's 154-position model. Lineage: Eukaryota; Fungi. The record is from RNAcentral.
UCUCCGUAGGUGAACCUGCGGAGGGAUCAUUACCGAGUGAGGGCCUCCGGGCUCGACCUCCAACCCUUUGUAUACCGACCCUGUUGCCUCGGGGGUGACCCGGCGCCUCGCUCUGAGGUGCCCCGGGGCCCCCGGUGGACCACUCAACGCUGCAUCUGUGCGUCCGAGUCAAUAUUGAAUCAAUCAAAACUUUCAACAACGGAUCUCUUGGUUCUGGCAUCGAUGAAGAACGCAGC